AACGAACGCUGGCGGCAUGCCUAACACAUGCAAGUCGAACGAGACCUUCGGGUCUAGUGGCGCACGGGUGCGUAACGCGGGGGAACCUGCCCUUAGGUUCGGAAUAACUCCCCGAAAGGGGUGCUAAGACCGGAUAAUGUCUUCGGACCAAAGAUUUAUCGCGGUUGGAUGGGCCCGCGUUGGAUUAGCUAGUUGGUAGGGUAAAAGCCUACCAAGGCGACGAUGCAUAGCUGGUCGGAGAGGAUGAUCAGCCACACUGGGACUGAGACACGGCCCAGACUCGUACGGGAGGGAGCAGUGGGGAAUAUUGGACAAGGGGCGAAAGCCUGAUCCAGCAAUGCCGCGUGAGUGAUGAAGGCCUUAGGGUUGUAAAGCUCUUUUACCCGGGAUGAUAAUGACAGUACCGGGAGAAUAAGCUCCGGCUAACUACGUG
Molecule: ribosomal RNA, 433 nt
Filed under: uncultured bacterium
Lineage: Bacteria
Description: partial 16S ribosomal RNA
Rfam family: Bacterial small subunit ribosomal RNA
Source: RNAcentral